GGCUCGGUAGCUUAGUUGGUAAAGCGCUCGUCUAGCAUACAAGCCCCAUGGGUUCAAAUCCCAGCCGAACAC
Non-coding RNA from Aedes aegypti (yellow fever mosquito), 72 nucleotides. NCBI's taxonomy places the organism in Eukaryota, Metazoa, Arthropoda, Insecta, Diptera, Culicidae. The record is from Rfam.